Molecule: non-coding RNA, 47 nt
Organism: Salmo salar (Atlantic salmon)
Lineage: Eukaryota; Metazoa; Chordata; Actinopteri; Salmoniformes; Salmonidae
Source: Rfam
UCAAAGGCUCUUUUAAGAUCCACCGAAUAAAUGCAAAUAAGCACUGU